GUGCUCGCUUCAGCAGCACACAUACUAAAACUGGAACGAUGCAGAGAAGAUUAGCAUGGCCCCUGCGCAAGGACGGCACGCAAAUUUGUGAAGCGUUCCAUAUUUUG
This 107-nucleotide small nuclear RNA is filed under the name Microcebus murinus (gray mouse lemur). The record is from RNAcentral. Lineage: Eukaryota; Metazoa; Chordata; Mammalia; Primates; Cheirogaleidae.